GACGAACGCUGGCGGCGGGCUUAACACAUGCAAGUCGAACGGAAAGGCCCUGCUUUUGUGGGGUGCUCGAGUGGCGAACGGGUGAGUAACACGUGAGUAACCUGCCCUUGACUUUGGGGUAACUUCAGGAAACUGGGGCUAAUACCGGAUAGGAUCUCCUGCUGCAUGGUGGGGGUUGGAAAGUUUCGGCGGUUGGGGAUGGACGCGCGGCUUAUCAGCUUGUUGGUUGGGUAGUGGUUUACCAAGGCUGUGACGGGUAGCCGGCCUGAGAGGGUGACCGGCCACAUGGGGCCUGAGAUACGGCCCAGACUCCUACGGGAGGCAGCAGGGGGGAAUAUUGCACAAUGGGAGGAAGCCUGAUGCAGCAACGCCGCGUGCGGGAUGACGGCCUUCGGGUUGUAAACCGCUUUCGCCUGUGACGAAGCGUGAGUGACGGUAAUGGGUAAAGAAGCACCGGCUAACUACGUG
Molecule: ribosomal RNA, 468 nt
Filed under: uncultured bacterium
Lineage: Bacteria
Description: partial 16S ribosomal RNA
Rfam family: Bacterial small subunit ribosomal RNA
Source: RNAcentral